UGUAAAAAUUUGCUGUAACUCAUGCAGUAAAAUACUGUGAUUUACAACAGUAAUAUGUUGUAAUAACGAUUUUACGAUAAUUAACUGUAUAAGUACGUUGCUGUACAGUAUAUUGCUGUAAACAUCAGUGUCGUAGAGCAUGGGAACAAAUAUCUACAGUAAGCUAGUGUAAAGGAGCGUGCAAAAAGCAUUGUGGGAUACAGCGCACAUGCGCAUUAGGCGGAUCGGCUGCAUAUGCGCGUAUGCGUUGCACGUGAUUGGCUCCCGCGCUAGCCCGCCACGCCGCGCCGCCAUUUUUAAUUUUCUGCAAAGAUUUGAGCUGAGAUAUAGCUGAGCUGGCCGGCCUGAUCCUGAGCAACGAAUCUGAAUCUGUUCUGUUCCUGGUCCUGAUCCUCGAGCUGGGAUAUUGAUGACCAAUAAGUCAAUUCCAAGGGGAUCCGAGUAUGCCAUGGAUUACUGCUGAAGUCACACAGUGUGCAUGCUGAAACACUAAUCAGACGGAUGCUCUACAUGGACAUCAUAUACCCAUGUACGUUUGUAAGCUAUGUAAUCAUUCUUCUGGAUCAUUGAAGCGGUUUUCUGAACACUUUUCAGUCCAUAGAAAUGUGGUGAAUUUCGAUUUCCCGUGUGGUGUUCCUGGCUGCAAUCGAACAUUCAGAAAUUAUUCAUCCUUCAAAACCCAUGUGCAUAGGGAUCAUCAACCAUUUUCAAGAAAAAAAGAUGCCCAGUUUUUCUGCGUUUCUACCUGGAAUUGUCCACUCUGUGCUGUAAAAUGUGAGGAAAUCCAUGACAUACUUUCUCAUCUUAGAGUUCAUAUCAAACACGGAGUUGAAAUACGCUGUCCUUUUGCCAAUUGCAAAAAACGUUUUUCAGUGAGGUCGUCUUUUGCGUCACAUAUAUCAAGAGUUCACAAUAAGUUAGACCAGAUUCAGUUAGACUCAACUUCAAGUGAAACUGGUACUGUGUUAACUGAAUCAAUAAAAAAAAUCCCACUUACAUUGAGUAUCUGAACCCUUUACUUUCACACACUUUCUUAAAAUUUUAUUUGUGUCUUUUUGCCCUUUUUAGACAUUUGCAAAUGUUAUGCUUGCAAAAGGGAUCAUGUACCUUUAAUAUGCAUUUCAAUUGAACUUAAUAUGAAACAUCACAAGUGAAAAUUGAAAUUUGAAAUCAAAUAUUUUGUUAGUGAGGGAGGUUAAAAAAGUCACGUGACUUCGUGGUAUUAAGGAAGCCGUGUGUUUAGCCUUGAUGCAAAGAGACCAACUACAGGGAGCCCAAACUUUUUUAAUAAAUUGUGUCUAGUGGUCAUUGAACUUCCUAGACAAAGCAUUAGCACAUGUAUUCUGUGAGCCUGGCAUGUGUGCAGCCUUGUCAUCAUAAGCAUUGCUUGAUUGUUUACUUACUGUUUUCCAAAAUAUGUUUUACAUUACUUGCAAUUUAGCAUUAUUUUACCUUAGUGAAUUUUCAUAUAUUUUAGUCUGUACAUGCAAUACACCUUAUAUUUAAUAAAUUUAAUAAGUCAUGAAAUAAAUGAAUUUGCCAAAUAUUAGGCCUAUAUUUAAGUAACCUAUAUUUUAUUUCGACAUAUUUCAAGUUAUAUAAUAAUAUAUUUUUUUUAAGUAACUUAUAUUUUAUUACGAUAUAUGUUACGUUAUAUGGUAAUAUGUUUUUUUAUCAUAUUUAAUACGUAGCAAUAUUGUAGCUAAACGAAUUUCAUAAUUUUAUGUUUUCAUUUUACAUGUACACAAAUUGAUCAUAUUUUCUAUUUUCUUUGUUCAUUGUGCACAUUGGUAAUUCUAUUUCAUUAAUUUCUGUAUAUCAUGUAUAUUUUCUUAUUGUCAAGUAUGUUUUACGGUUUUUGUUAUUUUGCACAGCCCCUUUGUAAACCAGCCGAGUAGCUGAAUAGGGCUUUUACCGUCAAUAAAUCAAUCAAUCAAUCAAUUGAAUGACAGCUCAUGAAGUUGAAACAAGUUUCUGUGCAGAAUUGGCAUGUAAAUGAGACAAAAAUACAGAAGAAUAUGAAACACGUAUUAAAGAUUACAAGUUUAAUAUAACAGAGCAACUCAAAUUAAAUGGGGUAUUAGUUCAAAAGAUAAAUUAAACAAAAAUAAAGUGAGUAAUGUCUUUUGGAGAGAUUCUACCAGGUAUAGAGAGUUUUCCUUGAUUCUGCCAGGUAUAUGGAGACUUUUCAUUGAUUGUAUUCUGAUAGUAGUUGUCGUUUAAUAGUGGCUUUAAAGGAAGAUAAAAGUGUAUAAAAUAUGUCUUGUUUACAAUUGAAGAUAAUUCUUUACAAUAGUUUUUUUACAAUUCAGAAUUUUAAAGUGAACAUAUUGUUGUCUGUUCGACAAAUAAUUUUUGACCCAAGAAAGUGCAGUGCCCCUAAGCCAUACGUUGUGAUUUAGCAUAUCAAUGCCUUAAAGCCGCUAUGUCUGCACAAUUGCAUGUGUUAUUCUGUCGUAUAAUUAAAUUAAUGCUAGGUCGGGUGAAUGAUUUUUUUUUAAAGCCAUAUUGGUUGGGAUUAAGCAAGUUAUGUGUAUUUCAGAAUUGGUAUAAUCUAAACAAUUUUUUCAAGAAUUUUUGAGAUACUGGAAGGAUGACUAUGGGUCUGUAGAUUCUUGAGUACUUGAACUUUUGCAGUUUUUAGUGGUUUUACUUGUUUUAAUGUUUUACUUGAUAGUUUCUUUGCAAGCAUUUUCAUAAUGUUACACUAUUUGAGAAACUUGUUUUAUGGAGCGUUGAUUACCCAAUAAAGACUUUAAUAAUGA
Molecule: long non-coding RNA, 2765 nt
Organism: Strongylocentrotus purpuratus (purple sea urchin)
Lineage: Eukaryota; Metazoa; Echinodermata; Echinoidea; Camarodonta; Strongylocentrotidae
Exons: 2
Source: RefSeq, a predicted model, not a curated record